GAAAGUACCAACUAAAAUACCCAUGCGAUUUGACAUAUAUAAGUUGCCCUUUCAUAUUGGCCUUUAGAAAGGACAAAUGAUACCAGAUGUGGCAUACAAAUGACUAAAAAAUAAAAUCAUAUUCCCAGAUACUAUGCUACUCCAGUAUCCAGGUGGCAUGUAAGCCACUAUGUAACUGGCAAAGACAAUUGAGAAUUCAGAUGAGAGAUAUUGCCACAUUGGCAUGAGAGGAAUUAAUCAUUCAAUGCAACUAAAUUUCAGAAAAAGAAGUUAUUAAGCAGAGACAACGGAGCUUGGAUAUUACAUUAAUACAUAGAUGAAUCUUCCUUGCAACUUGCUUGGAUUUUCAUCGACCUUGUAUGCAUAGGUAAGAGAGAAUCUGCACAAACAAAGAUUAGAGAUUCGGGGGAUUAAUGAAAAGAGAGUAGUACGAUAGAGAGAAAGUGGACAAAUCAGUAGGAAGUAGGAAUAGUAGCACACCUAGUCCUAAAAAAUAGGGACCGGCCUCACUGAGGCAUGGAGCUGCUCGUGGUAACAUAGCAGCGGAGUUACUUAGUUGAAUAACGUACGUGGGGAAAAAUAUUCCACGGCUAGCACAAAACCUGUGAAGUAUGAAGACAACACAAUUACAUCUACAUGAGGAGCAGGCUGCGAGGUUGGCGGUAUUUACCACGGUGACUUUCUAUAGGUCAGGCUUCUAAUAGUGGCCCACCGAAAAGUUAUAAGCUCUGUGCACAAAAAAAAAAAAACAGGGACAAGGAACCAUUUACGAAAUGCUGCAUGUAUUUCCUAUGUAACAAAGAAAUAAUAGGAAACUGGAGAUGUGUUUAUUGGACUAGCACAUAGUUCUAUAUGCUAGUCAGAAGUAAGUGAGGGCGUUCUACAUUGUUUGCUGUAUCACUGCACUAGGACAUCAAAACAAAUGACAAAGUUAAAGAUUAUGUUUCACUUUGUCAUUCAACUUGAUGACAACAACUUGUACAACUAAAAAAUAUCAGGUCGUUAACAGCAGAUGCUUUACUUAACUAUAGCUUGUUAAAAAUAAAGCUAAAAGUCUGCACAACCAUGCAUACUUUUGUAUGCUAAAAACCCUUAGAAGAAUAAUAUAGAAUAUUGAAUCCCUGAUUCUCAACUGAACAUUUACUAAAUGCAUUGUAAGAAUCUGGCAAGCCCUUGUAGUACUUCUCCGUAUGCCUACAUGCAAGUGUACAUAUGCAACGCGUUACAUCAGAUAUCAGCAAGUACUAACAUCUAAUCUAAGAUGUUUAACAUAUGGGGUGUUGUACCUAGGUGUAUCCAUCGAAUCUUUGUCCAUGCUAGUUGCACCUGCACACAUGAUUAAUAGUGAAUUUAAAUGCCUCACACACUGUCCACACACAAAAAAACUAGAAAUUUCAAAAUGUGAAUAGAACUAUGAAACUGAAACAAAAAUCAAAAUCAAACCCUUUCUAUGUCUCGCAUGUGGAUCAUAGGAAACAGAAUAGGUGUUCCAGGAAUUGAACUUCAUAGGAAACAAUUAAGUCUAGCAAGAAUUCAUUAUAUCAUUAUCAAACAGUUUCUAACAGUAUAAGAAAAAACCUUUUGGAAAUCCACAUGUCGUUCGGAUCCCGCUGGUUAGUAGGUUUGGCCCCCUUCUUUUGCCAGGCACUGCUUUAAAUGUUCACCAACAAUAUUAUACAUGUGGUGUCAUACGUUGUCCACACACAAAAUAACAGGAAAAGGCAAAAUCUAAAAUAUACAAGUUCAACCGAAGUUGCUGCUCAUCAAGGAAUAGCAAGAGAUUAUGCAAGUCAGGUACAGUACUGUUAUCAUGACAACUAGGAACUAAAGGUGCCACGCUGAAUUGGUAUCUUAGGGCCUGUUCGGCCGCUCUCCGCGGAGCGGAGCCGGCGGAGCGCCCUUUUAGCAGCUCUGCGUAUUAUACCUAGCAAGCCACUCCGCUCCGGCGCGGAGCCGCGGAGCGGAGGGAGUCCGAACGCGACCUUAAUUUAUGGGCGGAGGCAAGAUCUGAAACUGAACCAGAAUCUCAAGUUUCGGUUUGCCUUAUAAUGUAUUAUUGCUACACAGAUAAUUAUUAUUCUUGUACAUGAUCUCAACUUGUCACAGGACAUCAUUAGCAUUUUCAUAUAUUCUCUCGGAUCCCACUUUUCAAAGCCAGAACAACAUUCAAGAGUCUAAACUAUGGUGACAACCCAAGGUUCAGAGCAAUAAAUAUAUCAUUAAAAUCAGUCUAAAUGUGCCAUUUUCCACAAAGUAUCAUCAUAGUUAAGAUCUAUAGCUAAGUUCUAUGUUCCAAAUUUAAGCACUAUGCUAGUUACUUAUGAUGACAAUACACUAAGCAAAUUUCUUUUGAUAACGAAGGUCAACCAAAUUGACCACUAUGCAGAAGGUGUGCUCAUGCAUAACAACUACACUGUUUUCUUCUCAAAGCACAUAGUACGUGCAAAUUAGCUUUCAAAAUCCACACAUAACAUAAGCAGGAACAUGUGGAGGGGGGAAACAAUUCUUCCGAAGAGAAAUCGUUGUAUUGCUGUGAAAUAGCUAACACACGAGGUGGAUAAAGACCUUGCAUUAGAAGGACUAAAACCAACCCACUGUGCUAGUUGGAUCUGGAAGAGGCAUCUUGGAGCAUACCUUCUUGGCCGGCAGCACCUCCAGGAGAUGGUGAGCUUGGGCGCGAACGAAAAGGGAAGCUCCCGGCAGGGUUUGGA
Molecule: long non-coding RNA, 2711 nt
Filed under: Triticum aestivum (bread wheat)
Lineage: Eukaryota; Viridiplantae; Streptophyta; Magnoliopsida; Poales; Poaceae
Description: long non-coding RNA (TAES_LNC000611)
Source: RNAcentral